CUGCCUGGCACGCGCCAAGGGUCCAUUGGAGACCGAGUUUCGCGCACCGCCCCCUGGCGGUUUGGAGGACGCAUUGUGAACGUGUUCGCCUUGUAGUGGCGCGCGGUAGGACGACAAAUGCAGUUUGACUUUUCCAGACUGAACAAAAACGGCUGAUUGGAAGACAGAAUUCCUCGUGGCUCAGAUUCUGUUCCCCUUCACUGCUAGAGCGGUUCCACUACUCUCCGGACUUCCAUCAAGACAGAAGCACAGUUACAGAGCACACACUGACAGGAAGUUCAUGUGCCACCUGAGAAAGAUCCUUGUCUCAGAAUGGACAUUUGGGUGAAGUUUGUGUUCAGCAUUCAUUGUGUGUGUAUGUGGGGGGCAGUGCAGAUGGAGUCGUCAUUGUUGCAGUGCUGGGUAUUGAACGCAGGGCCUCUUUCAUGUAGGCAGCCACCAUACCAACUGAGCUACACUCCUGCUCUAAAGGUGUAGAAGUAUUUUAAUUGGGGCCUGGGAGAUGGCUCAGUCUGGAAAGUGAUUGCUUUGAAAGCACAAAGACCUGAGUCCCAAGUACUCCCUAUAGAAAGGAAGCCAGUUGUAGUGGGGCUCCCUGGUCGGCAUCCUGGUGAGACCAAGGCCCAGAAGAAACAGUCUCAAGGUGGAUAGUGCCUGAGAACAUCUGUGAUGGCAAUUCUUGGUUAUCAACUUAACCACAUCUGGAAUGAACUAUAGUACAGAAAUGGAGGGCACACCUGUGAGAGAUUAUCCACUGAAUCCACUUCUAGUGCAGACUUUUGAGGCUGGGUGACACAAGCCUUUGAUCCAGAUCUUGAGGCUGGAAGACACGCCUUUAAUCUGGGCCAUACCUUCUGCUGGGAGACUUUUGCUUAUUGCCUGCUUGCCCUUACCUUGAUAGCACAUCCAUUCCUCCACUGGCUUUGGACUCUAUUUCUUUGGGAUUCCAGCACAUACUGAAGAUCAGCUGAGACACCCAGCCUUGUGGAUUGAGAAACUACUGGAAUUUUGGAUUUUCUGUUCCUGGCCAGCCAUUCAUUGUUGAAUUAGCUGGACUGCAGCCUAUAAGUCAUCACAAUAAAUCUCUCUAUAUA
Non-coding RNA from Cricetulus griseus (Chinese hamster), 1094 nucleotides. NCBI's taxonomy places the organism in Eukaryota, Metazoa, Chordata, Mammalia, Rodentia, Cricetidae. The record is from RefSeq and is a predicted model, not a curated record.